Molecule: ribosomal RNA, 292 nt
Filed under: uncultured bacterium
Lineage: Bacteria
Description: partial 16S ribosomal RNA
Rfam family: Bacterial small subunit ribosomal RNA
Source: RNAcentral
GUGUCAGCAGCCGCGGUAAUACAGAGGGUGCAAGCGUUAAUCGGAAUUACUGGGCGUAAAGCGUGCGUAGACGGUUAUGUAAGUCGGGUGUGAAAGCCCCGGGCUCAACCUGGGAAUGCCAUUCGAGACUGCAUAGCUAGGGUGCGGAAGAGGGAAGCGGAAUUUCCGGUGUAGCGGUGAAAUGCGUAGAUAUCGGAAGGAACACCAGUGGCGAAAGCGGCUUCCUGGUCCAGCACCGACGUUCAGGCACGAAAGCGUGGGGAGCAAACAGGAUUAGAUACCCUGGUAGUCC